UCCACCUCUUCCCAUUCCGAACAGAGAAGUUAAACCUCAUCACGCCGAUGGUACUGCGAAAGCGGAAGAGUAGGUAAUCGCCAUUC
Molecule: ribosomal RNA, 86 nt
Filed under: Bacteroidales bacterium
Lineage: Bacteria; Pseudomonadati; Bacteroidota; Bacteroidia; Bacteroidales
Source: RNAcentral